UCCGGUUGAUCCUGCCAGCGGCCACCGCUAUUGGAAUUCGAUUAAGACAUGCGAGUCGAGAGUCGUAAUGGACUCGGCGGACUGCUCAGUAACACGUGGAUAACAUGCCCUAGAGUGGAGGAUAAUCUCGGGAAAUUGAGGAUAAUACUCCAUAGAUCAUGAAUUCUGGAACGACUCAUGGUCGAAAGUUCCGGCGCUCUAGGAUUGGUCUGCGGCCUAUCAGGUAGUAGUGGGUGUAACGGACCCACUAGCCGACGACGGGUAUGGGCCUUGAGAGAGGGAGCCCAGAGAUGGAAUCUGAGACACGAUUCCAGGCCCUACGGGGCGCAGCAGUCGCGAAAACUUCACAAUGGAGGCAACUCCGAUGAGGGAAUUCCAAGUGCUAGCACAUUAGUGUUAGCUUUUCUUAAGCAUAGAUAACUUAAGGAAUAAGGGCUGGGUAAGACGGGUGCCAGCCGCCGCGGUAAUACCCGCAGCCCAAGUGGUGGUCGAUUUUAUUGAGUCUAAAACGUUCGUAGCCGGUUCAUUAAAUCCUUGGGUAAAUCGGAUGGCUUAACUAUCCGAAUUCCGGGGAGACUGGUGAACUUGGGACCGGGAGAGGCAAG
Molecule: ribosomal RNA, 605 nt
Filed under: uncultured archaeon
Lineage: Archaea
Description: bacterial SSU rRNA
Rfam family: Archaeal small subunit ribosomal RNA
Source: RNAcentral